UACGGAGGAUCCAAGCGUUAUCCGGAAUCAUUGGGUUUAAAGGGUUCGUAGGCGGUUUUGUAAGUCAGUGGUGAAAGUUUGCAGCUUAACUGUAAAAUUGCCAUUGAUACUGCAAGACUUGAAUGUUUGUGAAGUAGCUAGAAUAUGUAGUGUAGCGGUGAAAUGCUUAGAUAUUACAUGGAAUACCGAUUGCGAAGGCAGGUUACUAACAAAUUAUUGACGCUGAUGGACGAAAGCGUGGGGAGCGAAC
RNAcentral lists this ribosomal RNA (250 nucleotides) under uncultured bacterium. Its description in RNAcentral is "partial 16S ribosomal RNA". It matches the Rfam family "Bacterial small subunit ribosomal RNA", at positions 524 to 773 of the family's 1533-position model. The record is from RNAcentral.